This is a long non-coding RNA of Notothenia coriiceps (black rockcod), 887 nucleotides long. RefSeq lists it as uncharacterized. Lineage: Eukaryota; Metazoa; Chordata; Actinopteri; Perciformes; Nototheniidae. The transcript is spliced from 2 exons. The record is from RefSeq and is a predicted model, not a curated record.
UCCAGCAACUGAUACCCUUUGUGGAGGAUGACAACUCCAAACACGAGGAUCGCUCGGCCGGCCAGAGCCGCCCCCCCACCGAGGAGAGGAGAGAAAUCCUGGAGGUCAACAAGAAGCUGAAACAGAAGAACCAGCAGCUGAAGCAGAUCAUGGACCAACUGCGCAACCUCAUCUGGGAGAUCAACUCCAUGCUGGCAGUCAGGAGCUGAGACACUCACACACACACACACACACACACACACACACACACACACACACACACACACACACACACACACACACACACACACACACAAAAACUACACCCAAUGGUGGGUGCAGCGGUUUGGACGUUGACUGGAUGUGUAACAGGGUACCACAUGCUGGCUGAGGCUGCACUUUACCGAAGACAUUGGGACUUUGGCAAUAUCAACCCGUUUCCUGAAGAAGACCUGAAACAAUGGAAGGAAAGAUUAGAGCGAGACACAUGAAGACUGAGAGGAAGGUGUGGACGAUGGCAGAAGAUAUUCUGUUUACCUCAAUAUCCUGUAUUUUAAUCAACUAAAUAAUAAUCCGAAGAGUUGUUAUAUUAUGUUUUAUCUAUUUGUAGCUACUAGCUCAGCAGAGGGUUUAUGCCUGUAGAAAUACAUUGUAUUUAAUCUUUUGUCAUAGUUUUAGAACUUUGUGAAGCCCUACAUUAAGAAACAUGAUUUUAUAUGGCCCCUAAAAACUUUAAAAAGAAGGAGAAACAGUAUGGCAAAAAUAAUGAGUCUAAUUCUGACUUGAUUUGUUUGAUAUGAAUGUAUGUGAUAUGUAAACUCAUCGAUGCUCUUCUCUGAUUGGACUUGACAUUUCAAUACAUGCCUUGUAAAGGAUUCUGCUGAACUAUAAAUCUUCCUGUGAUUUUU